Molecule: ribosomal RNA, 676 nt
Filed under: uncultured bacterium
Lineage: Bacteria
Description: bacterial SSU rRNA
Rfam family: Bacterial small subunit ribosomal RNA
Source: RNAcentral
GAAACGACUGCUAAUACCGCAUAAGCCCACGGCUCGGCAUCGAGCAGAGGGAAAAGGAGUGAUCCGCUUUGAGAUGGCCUCGCGUCCGAUUAGCUAGUUGGUGAGGUAACGGCCCACCAAGGCGACGAUCGGUAGCCGGACUGAGAGGUUGAACGGCCACAUUGGGACUGAGACACGGCCCAGACUCCUACGGGAGGCAGCAGUGGGGAAUAUUGCACAAUGGGGGAAACCCUGAUGCAGCGACGCCGCGUGGAGGAAGAAGGUCUUCGGAUUGUAAACUCCUGUUGUUGAGGAAGAUAAUGACGGUACUCAACAAGGAAGUGACGGCUAACUACGUGCCAGCAGCCGCGGUAAAACGUAGGUCACAAGCGUUGUCCGGAAUUACUGGGUGUAAAGGGAGCGCAGGCGGGAGAACAAGUUGGAAGUGAAAUCCAUGGGCUCAACCCAUGAACUGCUUUCAAAACUGUUUUUCUUGAGUAGUGCAGAGGUAGGCGGAAUUCCCGGUGUAGCGGUGGAAUGCGUAGAUAUCGGGAGGAACACCAGUGGCGAAGGCGGCCUACUGGGCACCAACUGACGCUGAGGCUCGAAAGUGUGGGUAGCAAACAGGAUUAGAUACCCUGGUAGUCCACACCGUAAACGAUGAUUACUAGGUGUUGGAGGAUUGACCCCUUCAGUG